RNAcentral lists this ribosomal RNA (455 nucleotides) under Pichia manshurica. RNAcentral's name for it is "partial large subunit ribosomal RNA". It matches the Rfam family "Eukaryotic large subunit ribosomal RNA", at positions 162 to 639 of the family's 3401-position model. The record is from RNAcentral. Lineage: Eukaryota; Fungi; Ascomycota; Pichiomycetes; Pichiales; Pichiaceae.
UCUCUGUGGAGCGCGGUGUCCAAGUCCCUUGGAACAGGGUGCCUGAGAGGGUGAGAGCCCCGUAGGGUGCUGCGCGAAGCUUUUGAGGCCCUGCUGACGAGUCGAGUUGUUUGGGAAUGCAGCUCCAAGCGGGUGGUAAAUUCCAUCUAAGGCUAAAUAUUGGCGAGAGACCGAUAGCGAACAAGUACUGUGAAGGAAAGAUGAAAAGCACUUUGAAAAGAGAGUGAAACAGCACGUGAAAUUGUUGAAAGGGAAGGGUAUUGGGCUCGACAUGGGGGGUGCGCACCGCUGUCUCUUGUAGGCGGCGCUCUGGGCGCCCUCUGGGCCAGCAUCGGUUCCUGCUGCGGGAGAAGGGGCUCCGGAAAGUGGCUCUUCGGAGUGUUAUAGCCGGGGCCAGAUGCCGCGUGUGGGGACCGAGGACUGCGGCUUCUGUCUCGGAUGCUGGCAUAACGGCG